RNAcentral lists this ribosomal RNA (497 nucleotides) under uncultured bacterium. Its description in RNAcentral is "partial 16S ribosomal RNA". It matches the Rfam family "Bacterial small subunit ribosomal RNA", at positions 28 to 507 of the family's 1533-position model. The record is from RNAcentral.
GAUGAACGCUGGCGGCGUGCCUAAUACAUGCAAGUCGAGCGAACGGACGAGAAGCUUGCUUUUCUGAUGUUAGCGGCGGACGGGUGAGUAACACGUGGAUAACCUACCUAUAAGACUGGGAUAACUUCGGGAAACCGGAGCUAAUACCGGAUAAAAUUUUGAACCGCAUGGUUCAAAAGUGAAAGACGGUCUUGCUGUCACUUAAAGAUGGAUCCGCGCUGCAUUAGCUAGUUGGUAAGGUAACGGCUUACCAAGGCAACGAUGCAUAGCCGACCUGAGAGGGUGAUCGGCCACACUGGAACUGAGACACGGUCCAGACUCCUACGGGAGGCAGCAGUAGGGAAUCUUCCGCAAUGGGCGAAAGCCUGACGGAGCAACGCCGCGUGAGUGAUGAAGGUCUUCGGAUCGUAAAACUCUGUUAUUAGGGAAGAACAUAUGUGUAAGUAACUGUGCACAUCUUGACGGUACCUAAUCAGAAAGCCACGGCUAACUACGUG